GAAAACAUGAUUUUUGUGUGUUCUUGGGCCUAUUGGCUCAUUUAGCAGAAAGUUCCUAGCCUCAAAAAAAGGUUUCAAUCCCAAGUUCAAGUUGAAAAAUGUCGAUGUCUUCAUCAGUAAAGAAUGUGUCUGUUCCCUUCUAAAUUCUCAAAAGCUCUCCUCAAGUUAAUCAAGCUCUAAUGUAGACAUAUGAAACAGGAAUAAGUUAAUUUGUCAACAAGAUGAUAAUGGCUCCGUGGGCACUUCCGAAGCCAUGGAAACUCAAAAUAUUAGACAGAGGCUUGGUGUAAGAGUGGAUGGCAACUCAGAGGAAGCGAUUAAUCUCUUGAAUGAUCUGGAGCAUUAAAAAUGUCUAAUGGAAGAAUUUGGCUCAAGGAGCUGGAUUGUAAGGGGAUAUUCCAUAGCAUUAAGUGUCGAUAUUGUGUCUCAUUAGGAGGUGAUUUACUAUACUGUGAUUGUUUUAUCUUGGAAUAUAAGAGCGCUAGGGUCGAAAGUAAAGCAGAGGGCAGUGAGUAGGUUGAUUAGGAAGAUGAAUAUUCUGCUGCUCUUUCAAGAAUCUAAAAUGGGCAAUGUUAUACCAAGUUUCCUUAAAGGUAUGUGGCGCUCUACUAAUUUUGAUUUUCAUUUUGUUGAAUUUAUUGGGAGAUCGGGUGGAAUCAUUUCAAGCUAGGACACUCAAUGUUUCUCUCUGAACAAAGAAUUCUUGGAUGGGAAUUGGAUUGCUAUUGAAGGUACUAUAUGUGAAAAGAAUGUGGAAUGUGUUAUCAUUAAUGUGUAUGCCCCCUGUGACAAAGCUUCCCAAUUAAUGCUAUGGAAUGAUUUGUCUGCUUUCAUUAGCUAAAGAAAGGGGUCAUGUAUGUUGAUAGGUAAUUUUAAUGUAAUUUUGGAUGUUAAUGAUCGUUUUCCCCCCUGCUAUAAUUUCCCUUACUAACAAAAUGUUUAAAUCUUUAGUGGAGCACUGUGGUUUGUUUGACUUGCCUCUCAUAGGUAGAAAAUUUUCUUGGGGAAAUAAUGUGAACAUGACUAGAAUCAACUGUUGCUUAGUUGAUGGCUCUUGGCUGAGUUUCUUCCCAGAUUCUAAACUUAAGGGUUUGGCUAAAGGGUGAUCUGAUCAUUACUCCUUAUUCCUGGAAACGGUGAAUGUCAAUUGGGG
This 1153-nucleotide unclassified non-coding RNA is filed under the name Hevea brasiliensis (rubber tree). Lineage: Eukaryota; Viridiplantae; Streptophyta; Magnoliopsida; Malpighiales; Euphorbiaceae. The record is from RNAcentral.